Non-coding RNA from Thunnus maccoyii (southern bluefin tuna), 561 nucleotides. Lineage: Eukaryota; Metazoa; Chordata; Actinopteri; Scombriformes; Scombridae. The record is from the annotation of a RefSeq genome assembly.
AUGAUGGACUAUAGGACAGGACUGCUGCUUUUAACUCUCUGCUGGGCAGGUGUUGAUGGUCAGACUCUGACAGAAUCUGAACCAGCGGUUAAAAAGCCUGGAGAAUCUCACAAACUGACCUGUACAGUUUCUGGAUUCACAAUCAGCAGCUACUACAUGGCCUGGAUCAGACAGGCUCCUGGAAAAGGACUGGAGUGGAUUGCUACUGAUGGUGGUGGCAGCACCAAAUACUACUCUCAGUCAGUUCAAGGCCGAUUCACCAUCUCCAGAGACAACAGCAGAGAGCAGCUGUAUCUGCAGAUGAACAGUCUGAAGACUGAAGAUUCUGCUGUUUAUUAUUGUCACUCAGUCACUCUAUUGGACAGCUUGGAUCAGACAGCCUGCAAGGAAGAACUGGAGUGGAUUGGAAGUGCAGCAGCUGGAUACACAUUCUACAAAGAUUCACUAAAGAACAAGUUCAGUAUCGACUUAGACUCUUCCAGCAACAGAGUGACUCUAAACGGACAGAGUGUGCAGCCUGAAGACACUGCUGUGUAUUACUGUGCCAGAGACCCACAAUAA